RNAcentral lists this long non-coding RNA (250 nucleotides) under Elaeis guineensis (African oil palm). RNAcentral's name for it is "long non-coding RNA (EGUI_LNC040716)". Lineage: Eukaryota; Viridiplantae; Streptophyta; Magnoliopsida; Arecales; Arecaceae. The record is from RNAcentral.
UAAUAAGUAGUGAUAUCCUCCUCUGGUGCCUAUGUUUGUAGAUCCACAUACAUCACUAUGUACUAGAUCUAGAACAUCACUGACUCUUUCAUCCUUUUUAGUAAAGGGUGACUUGGUCAUCUUCUCAAGAAGACAGGACUCACAGGUCGGCAAUAAUUCACAAUCAUUGAUAUCGAAGAUUCUCUCUUUAAUUAAUCUAUUUAUCCUAUUCUUCUUUAUAUGAUCGAGCCUACAAUGCCAAAGAUAGACA